RNAcentral lists this ribosomal RNA (515 nucleotides) under Yamagishiella unicocca. Its description in RNAcentral is "LSU rRNA". It matches the Rfam family "Bacterial large subunit ribosomal RNA", at positions 2411 to 2925 of the family's 2925-position model. Lineage: Eukaryota; Viridiplantae; Chlorophyta; Chlorophyceae; Chlamydomonadales; Volvocaceae. The record is from RNAcentral.
AGAUAUUUUCUUUUUUAUAAAAGGUAACCCGAUCAACGGACAAAAGCUACGCUAGGGAUAACAGGCCUAUCCGCCUUUAGAGUUCCUAUCGAUGGGCGGGUUUUGCACCUCGAUGUUGGAUCAUCGCGUCCUAUGGCUGAAGAAGGUCAUAAGGGUUGGAUUGUUCAUCCAUUAAAGCGGUACGUGAUCUGAGUUCAGAACGUCGUGAGACAGUUCGGUUUCUAUCUUUGUUAGCGUAAGGCUUAUAUUGUUUUAUUUAAAAAUAAAUAAAAACGCGCCGCAGCAACAGUAGCCGCUGGGGGCGAGUACGAAAGGACCAGACCCCUGUAAACCUCUGGUGCACUUGUUGUCUUAUUAAGGGCAUAGCAAGAAAGCUAAGUUUAAUAAGGCUGAAUUGCUUUUUUUUCAAUAACACCGAAUGGGCUUAGUUUUAAUAAACUAAAGAUUGUAAAUUCUGUGGCUGAUUUUACAGCCACUCGAUUGUAAACGCUGAAUAAAGCUUUAGCUUUAAUAUA